Molecule: ribosomal RNA, 303 nt
Filed under: uncultured bacterium
Lineage: Bacteria
Description: partial 16S ribosomal RNA
Rfam family: Bacterial small subunit ribosomal RNA
Source: RNAcentral
AGCAGUCGCCGCGGGAACACGAAGGGGGCUAGCGUUGCUCGGAAUGACUGGGCGUAAAGGGCGCGUAGGCGGCGAUCAAAGUCAGGCGUGAAAUUCCUGGGCUCAACCUGGGGGCUGCGCUUGAUACUGGGUUGCUUGAGUGGGGAAGAGGGUCGUGGAAUUCCCAGUGUAGAGGUGAAAUUCGUAGAUAUUGGGAAGAACACCGGUGGCGAAGGCGGCGACCUGGUCCUUUACCGACGCUGAGGCGCGAAAGCGUGGGGAGCAAACAGGAUUAGAGACCCCAGUAGUCCCUGUCUCUUAUAC